GUUUUCCUUUAUCAACAGAUUAUGGGGAAUGCUUGCAUUCCUUUUAAUCCAGCCAUUAAAUCCUUUCUAUAUCUAGUGUUCCAUCAAUUUACACAAUGUCAGCUUGUUAAACUUUAAUAACAAUCUAAGUCAAAAUCUUGUGUUUGAUUUUAAAUGCCAACUUCUAUUUUGGUAUUUUCAGGACAAAUGGUGUAGGGGG
This 199-nucleotide long non-coding RNA is filed under the name Elaeis guineensis (African oil palm). RNAcentral's name for it is "long non-coding RNA (EGUI_LNC077224)". Lineage: Eukaryota; Viridiplantae; Streptophyta; Magnoliopsida; Arecales; Arecaceae. The record is from RNAcentral.